Molecule: unclassified non-coding RNA, 262 nt
Filed under: Hevea brasiliensis (rubber tree)
Lineage: Eukaryota; Viridiplantae; Streptophyta; Magnoliopsida; Malpighiales; Euphorbiaceae
Source: RNAcentral
AAAAAAUUCGUUUCUUUGUCAUUUGGGUGACAGAAAAAACUUGUGGUAGCUAGAGGGAUUAUAUGUGAAUUUGUUGUGCUAAUUCAUUGCAUGAUGCUGAUUUUGUGCAUUAGAAUUUGGUUUCUUAGUGUCAUUACAACAGUGUCCUUCUUGGAUGGUUUAUUCUACCUAAUGAAUGAAACUUCUUUUUCCAUUGAAAAUGAUGUUCCUUUGAUAGUUUAUUCUGUUUGUACACACACACAUAUAUGUAUAUACACACUUA